CUUUGACCUCAAAUCAGGUAGGACUACCCGCUGAACUUAAGCAUAUCAAUAAGCGGAGGAAAAGAAACCAACAGGGAUUGCCUCAGUAGCGGCGAGUGAAGCGGCAAAAGCUCAAAUUUGAAAUCUGGCGUCUUUGGCGUCCGAGUUGUAAUUUGAAGAAGGUAUCUUUGGGCCCGGCUCUUGUCUAUGUUCCUUGGAACAGGACGUCACAGAGGGUGAGAAUCCCGUGCGAUGAGAUGACCCGGGUCUGUGUAAAGUUCCUUCGACGAGUCGAGUUGUU
Molecule: ribosomal RNA, 280 nt
Filed under: Candida albicans
Lineage: Eukaryota; Fungi; Ascomycota; Pichiomycetes; Serinales; Debaryomycetaceae
Description: partial 28S ribosomal RNA
Rfam family: Eukaryotic large subunit ribosomal RNA
Source: RNAcentral